CCUACGGGCGGCAGCAGUGAGGAAUAUUGGUCAAUGGGCGAGAGCCUGAACCAGCCAAGUCGCGUGAGGGAAGACGGUCCUAUGGAUUGUAAACCUCUUUUGCCGGGGAGCAAAAAGCGGGACGUGUACCGGACCGAGCGUACCCGGAGAAAAAGCAUCGGCUAACUCCGUGCCAGCAGCCGCGGUAAUACGGAGGAUGCGAGCGUUAUCCGGAUUUAUUGGGUUUAAAGGGUGCGCAGGUGGCGUGUUAAGUCAGCGGUAAAAUUUCGGGGCUCAACCCCGCCGAGCCGUUGAAACUGGCUGGGUAGAGUGGGCGAGAAGUAUGCGGAAUGCGUGGUGUAGCGGUGAAAUGCAUAGAUAUCACGCAGAACUCCGAUUGCGAAGGCAGCAUACCGGCGCCCAACUGACGCUGAGGCACGAAAGCGUGGGUAUCGAACAGGAUUAGAUACCCUUGUAGUC
Molecule: ribosomal RNA, 459 nt
Filed under: uncultured bacterium
Lineage: Bacteria
Description: partial 16S ribosomal RNA
Rfam family: Bacterial small subunit ribosomal RNA
Source: RNAcentral